Molecule: long non-coding RNA, 714 nt
Organism: Oncorhynchus keta (chum salmon)
Lineage: Eukaryota; Metazoa; Chordata; Actinopteri; Salmoniformes; Salmonidae
Exons: 3
Source: RefSeq, a predicted model, not a curated record
GUCAGAAUACAACCCAGCCAAUCACGUUCAUCCCUUUCAAAGCGUUAGGUGAGUCAGAAUACAACCCAGCCAAUCACGUUCAUCCCUUUCAAAGCGUUAGGUGAGUCAGAAUACAACCCAGCCAAUCACGUUCAUCCCUUUCAAAGCGUUAGGUGAGUCAGAAUACAACCCAGCCAAUCACGUUCAUCCCCUUUCAAAGCCUUAGGUGAGUCAGAAUACAACCCAGCCAAUCACGUUCAUCCCCUUUCAAAGCCUUAGGUGAGUCAGAAUACAACCCAGCCAAUCACGUUCAUCCCCUUUCAAAGCCUUAGGUGAGUCAGAAUACAACCCAGCCAAUCACGUUCAUCCCCUUUCAAAGCCUUAGGUGAGUCAGAAUACAACCCAGCCAAUCACGUUCAUCCCUUUCAAAGCCUUAGGUGAGUCAGAAUACAACCCAGCCAAUCACGUUCAUCCCUUUCAAAGCGUUAGGUGAGUCAGAAUACAACCCAGCGAAUCACGUUCAUCCCCUUUCAAAGCGUUAGGUGAGUCAGAAUACAACCCAGCCAAUCACGUUCAUCCCUUUCAAAGCCUUAGGUGAGUCAGAAUACAACCCAGCGAAUCACGUUCAUCCUCUUUCAAAGCGUUAGGUGAGUCAGAAUACAACCCAGCGAAUCACGUUCAUCCCCUUUCAAAGCGUUAGGUGAGUCAGAAUACAACCCAGCGAAUCACGUUCAU